UAUAAAUAACCAAUCGAACAACAGUCACGGUCUUCUUGGAGACGGUGCCAUCUUGUAGAGACACCCCUCCACAACAUGAGGGCCAAGUGGAGAAAGAAGCGUAUGCGCAGGCUGAAGCGCAAGAGGCGGAAGAUGAGGCAGAGGUCAAAAUAGACUGCCCCCUUACAAAACCAUGUCUGUGACCUUUCUCAUGGACACAACACGGGACCAAGGAUUUCCCAAGAACUCAAGUCUGAAACAAGACACAGGCCAACAAGAGGCUACGAAGAGAUGGUGCUACUGUUGGUCAACCACCUGCCUGGGAGAUUUGAUAUGGGGACAUUCUGUAUUCUUUACUCUUCUACAAAACCAUCCCUACUCCAUUGCUUUUGUUUAUAUUUUCAAAGUUUUUGGUUUAAAAUUAAAUUGACUCAAUAUUGUUUUGAAACUGGGUCUAAAAAUGUUAAGAGGUCAUUAUUUUUCAUUAUGCCCAAUCAAGUUCAGUUGCAAAGAUUUGUAAUGCUAACCUAAGGGGUAUCGUACGGAGCAGGUUCAAGUCAACUUUGAACUCGGGAUAACCAGUCAUACUGAAGUGGCUCACCUUUUUAGCUUGGGCAAUGAAUUCUAAAACUAACCUGCUCCAGGUCUCGCUAACUAAUUGCACAGAGUGAUUGAACUGUGGGUGGAGGCCUAAUCUGAUUACCCUCUUGCAAAGACUCAUUUAAGGAAGACUGAUUAAAUGUUUUAUGACAGAAUGCAUGUGAAACUAAAUGCAACACUGACUUACAAAUAAAUAUUGGGGGGAUGCUUGUG
Long non-coding RNA from Salvelinus namaycush (lake trout), 792 nucleotides. RefSeq lists it as uncharacterized. NCBI's taxonomy places the organism in Eukaryota, Metazoa, Chordata, Actinopteri, Salmoniformes, Salmonidae. The record is from RefSeq and is a predicted model, not a curated record. The transcript is spliced from 3 exons.